This is a long non-coding RNA of Eptesicus fuscus (big brown bat), 123 nucleotides long. RefSeq lists it as uncharacterized. The transcript has 3 exons. NCBI's taxonomy places the organism in Eukaryota, Metazoa, Chordata, Mammalia, Chiroptera, Vespertilionidae. The record is from RefSeq and is a predicted model, not a curated record.
CUCUUCACAUUAUCCACUAAAGACAGAUAAUGAAAUUAACUUGAAGAGAUUCAGAGAAGACUUGACAGAGAAAACCACACUACAUCGGCAAAAGAUUUGGAGUACAGGGUGAAUAAGCAGGUA